UGGUCCCAGUGGGGACCCUCGGAGAGGCCGUAAGCAGCUGUCACCUUAUCGACGGUCACUUGCCUGCAAUUGGAUCACGAUAAAAAUUACUUGAGCACACCAAAGGGACUCACUGACACGCAAGAAGAUGCCAAGAACUAAAAAUAUUUAUACACCAAUUUAGGAAAUUUUGAAUGCGACGCGCCGAAGAUAUUAAUGAAGUUCAAAAUUAUUUCUGCUCGGAACAACGCAUUUUUACAUAGCAACUUUUCCACGUUGUUUUAUUGCACAAUGAACAACGUUUUUGAGCCAUUAAUGAUAAAAAUUACUUGAGCACACCAAACGGACUCACUGACACGCAAGAAGAUGCUAGGAACUAAAAAUAUUUAUACACCAAUUUAGGAAAUUUUGAAUGCGACGCGCCGAAGAUAUUAAUGAAGUUCAAAAUUAUUUCUGCUCGGAACAACGCAUUUUUACAUAGCAACUUUUCCACGCUGUUUUAUUGCACAAUGAACAACGUUUUUGAGCCAUUAAUGAUAAAAAUUACUUGAGCACACCAAAGGGACUCACUGACACGCAAGAAGAUGCCAAGAACUAAAAAUAUUUAUACACCAAUUUAGGAAAUUUUGAAUGCGAAGAUAUUAAUGAAGUUCAAAAUUAUUUCUGCUCGGAACAACGCAUUUUUACAUAGCAACUUUUCCACGCUGUUUUAUUGCCAAUGAACAACGUUUUUGAGCCAUUAAUGGUGAAUACAGGCAUAGAUAAAGUAGAUGAUAUUGUAGCGACAUUAAUGAUAAUAGCGAUAGAUAGCAUCGAACGAAGAAAAUUACUUCGCUCCAUUUUAUUCUUUUAAUCUUUGACGUAGUCACGUCAUUUAAUAAUGUGUGAAAAAUGGAAUACUUCAAUGAUCAAUAGUACUUAACACCGCUGCGUCGUACACGUUGCGAUAACAAUCUUUGUCAGAAAAGGAACUGCGGAUACUGAUAUUUAUUGAUACGUUCAUUUGUGAAGAUGUAUCGUACAAGUUUUUUUGCGACAGAGCAGAAUUAUAGACGAGUUUUAUAUGUAUUUUAUAUAAACACAUUUGUACAGAUAUAAUACAUGAUUUUAAUAUGA
Molecule: long non-coding RNA, 1095 nt
Organism: Vollenhovia emeryi
Lineage: Eukaryota; Metazoa; Arthropoda; Insecta; Hymenoptera; Formicidae
Exons: 4
Source: RefSeq, a predicted model, not a curated record